This 75-nucleotide small RNA is filed under the name Xanthomonas campestris. RNAcentral describes it as "sX9". It matches the Rfam family "Xanthomonas sRNA sX9". RNAcentral also lists the same sequence under 13 other names. The record is from RNAcentral. Lineage: Bacteria; Pseudomonadati; Pseudomonadota; Gammaproteobacteria; Lysobacterales; Lysobacteraceae.
AUGUACCCACGUACAUUCCGGUUCCUCCGCGCCGUCCGCACCCACCUGACGACUGCUCGCUACGUUUUGUUAGCC